GAUGAACGCUGGCGGCGUGCCUAAUACAUGCAAGUCGAGCGAACGGACGAGAAGCUUGCUUUUCUGAUGUUAGCGGCGGACGGGUGAGUAACACGUGGAUAACCUACCUAUAAGACUGGGAUAACUUAGGGAAACCGGAGCUAAUACCGGAUAAUAUUUUGAACCGCAUGGUUAAAAAGUGAAAGACGGUGUUGCUGUUGCUUAUAGAGUGGACCGGGCUGCAUUAGCUAGUUGGUAAGGUAACGGCUUACCAGGGCAAAGAUGCAUAGCCGGCCUGAGAGGAUGAUCAGCCAGACUGGGACUGAGACACGGCCCAGACUCAUACGGGAGGCAGCAGUGGGGAAUAUUGGACAAUGGGAGCAAGACUGAUCAAGCAAUGACGCGUGAGUGAUGAAGGCCCUAGGGUUGUAAAGCUCUUUUAACCGGGAAGAUAAUGACUGUACCGGGAGAAUAAGCCCCGGCUAACUCCGUG
RNAcentral lists this ribosomal RNA (472 nucleotides) under uncultured bacterium. RNAcentral describes it as "partial 16S ribosomal RNA". It matches the Rfam family "Bacterial small subunit ribosomal RNA", at positions 28 to 507 of the family's 1533-position model. The record is from RNAcentral.